This is an RNA transcript of Helicoverpa zea (corn earworm), 2709 nucleotides long. RefSeq lists it as uncharacterized. Lineage: Eukaryota; Metazoa; Arthropoda; Insecta; Lepidoptera; Noctuidae. The transcript has 12 exons. The record is from RefSeq and is a predicted model, not a curated record.
AAAUUCACGCUGGCAACUCUGACAAGCAGCCGAGAUGUCUUCCUCUCGUAAUUUACAAAGAAAACCAUAUUUAAUAUAGCGUCGACGCCAUUUUCGUGCGUUAUAAUCCAUUGAAUUGAUUUAAAUCACUUAUUGAACCGUAUUGUGAAUCUUGUUAUCGUGAAAUAAAGUGUUGAAAAUCAUCAUUGUUGCCAUUAAAUUGUAAGACAAGGUAUAAUACCAGUUAAUCAUGUCUGAUGAAGAGGUGACGGUUGAGACUUCAGACGGCCAGAUCCUGUCUGCCGAAUAUAAGGAUGGUCAACUACAAAUAGUGGAAGUCACACCAUUUGAAAAGAAUCAGGAAAACCACAUCUUACCCGACUUGUCAGAGGAAGGUGGUGAGGGCACCAAGUAUAUGCAAGUGUUAGACACAAGCAAGGGAUUGGUGCAGCUUGAUCUACUUAAUUUGACACUAGUCAGAUGUCAAAAUGUUGGAGAGUCGGAGUCAUUCCAACUGGUGGCCAACGCAGGCACGUCGGACGGAGACAUCUCAUCUGAUGCCACCGUCACCUGUGUGCUGCAGUCCAGUGAUACUGAAGAUCCAGACAACCAAGACUCGUACGUAAUGGUAGAGAAUGAGGAUGGACAGGGCUCCCUGGUGAUCCUCAAGUCUGCACUGCAGCAGGCCACCGCUGUGCAGGAGCCUGCUGAAGAACCUAAGAAAACUUUGUCACCAGCAGAUUUGUUAGAAAAGGCGAAGUCUCUACACAAAGCCAAAGCUUUACAAGCGAGCCGUGGCCGCGGCCGGAAGCGGAAGAGCGACCUGCCGCCUCCGCACGAGCUGCUAGCCUCGCCCAACUUCCGCCUGUACCUGUACUCCUGCAAGCUCUGCGCCUUCAAGUGUAAUGCCGUCAAGGAGAUGUCUGCUCACAAGGCCCGCGAGCACGGCGGCGCGAGUCGCGGUCGGUCGGGCGGCGGGCGCGGCGCCGCCGUCACGCUGCAGUGCGCGAGGUGUCCCUUCCGCGCCGCCGUGCACACACAGUUGAUGAAGCACGUGCAAGAGAAACAUCUGGAGGGUGAAACCAGUAAAUCUACCGAUUUGUCCCCGGCGGUGCAGGUGCAGCUGUACAGCGCGGCGGUGGCGGCGGCCGACGUGCUGGUGUGCGGCGCCUGCGGCUACGAGUCCGCCUCGCGCCUCGCCUUCCGCCGCCACAUCGAGCGGCACCAUGACGUCACCACCUGCUGACAGUAUGUACUGUCAUACAUCUAUACGAGUCCGCCUCGCGCCUCGCCUUCCGCCGCCACAUCGAGCGGCACCAUGACGUCACCACCUGCUGACAGUAUGUACUGUCAUACAUCUAUACGAGUCCGCCUCGCGCCUCGCCUUCCGCCGCCACAUCGAGCGGCACCAUGACGUCACCACCUGCUGACAGUAUGUACUGUCAUACAUCUAUACGAGUCCGCCUCGCGCCUCGCCUUCCGCCGCCACAUCGAGCGGCACCAUGACGUCACCACCUGCUGACAGUAUGUACUGUCAUACAUCUAUACGAGUCCGCCUCGCGCCUCGCCUUCCGCCGCCACAUCGAGCGGCACCAUGACGUCACCACCUGCUGACAGUAUGUACUGUCAUACAUCUAUACGAGUCCGCCUCGCGCCUCGCCUUCCGCCGCCACAUCGAGCGGCACCAUGACGUCACCACCUGCUGACAGUAUGUACUGUCAUACAUCUAUACGAGUCCGCCUCGCGCCUCGCCUUCCGCCGCCACAUCGAGCGGCACCAUGACGUCACCACCUGCUGACAGUAUGUACUGUCAUACAUCUAUACGAGUCCGCCUCGCGCCUCGCCUUCCGCCGCCACAUCGAGCGGCACCAUGACGUCACCACCUGCUGACAGUAUGUACUGUCAUACAUCUAUACGAGUCCGCCUCGCGCCUCGCCUUCCGCCGCCACAUCGAGCGGCACCAUGACGUCACCACCUGCUGACAGUAUGUACUGUCAUACAUCUAUACGAGUCCGCCUCGCGCCUCGCCUUCCGCCGCCACAUCGAGCGGCACCAUGACGUCACCACCUGCUGACAGUAUGUACUGUCAUACAUCUAUACGAGUCCGCCUCGCGCCUCGCCUUCCGCCGCCACAUCGAGCGGCACCAUGACGUCACCACCUGCUGACAGUAUGUACUGUCAUACAUCUAUACGAGUCCGCCUCGCGCCUCGCCUUCCGCCGCCACAUCGAGCGGCACCAUGACGUCACCACCUGCUGACAGUAUGUACUGUCAUACAUCUAUACGAGUCCGCCUCGCGCCUCGCCUUCCGCCGCCACAUCGAGCGGCACCAUGACGUCACCACCUGCUGACAGUGCGGUAUUCUGGACUAAACAUCCAAAUCAACAAGGAAUUGAAAUCACAUUCUUUGUUAUUAUCUUUGAGCGCAGUCUUCAUGAAGUCAAUAUAUUCCUAGCUAAGGUUAUUCCAUCGGUUUCACCUGUGAAUAAAAACUAUUCUGUUACUAUUACUCACCCACGGAGUAAGGGAAGAUGAGCGGGGAUGUCAUAACGCAGGUAGGUCAAAAACGUUCGGUCGUCUCAAAUACGAACGGUGUUUGUGACUAAGGGUCCGUCCAAACAGACCGGCUCGGAGAGCAUCGGCGCGCAUUUUUCUUUUCACACAGACCGGAGCUGAUCGGCUGCGCGAGCAUUAAAGAGCAUGCAAUCGGAGCCAAACGUCAAGAAAAAGU